CAGCAGCCGCGGUAAUACGAGGGGGGCAAGCGUUGUUCGGAAUUAUUGGGCGUAAAGGGCGCGUAGGCGGUCUGACAAGUCUUAUGUGAAAUCUCUGGGCUCAACCCAGAGUCUGCACGGGAAACUGUCGGGCUUGAGUAUGGGAGAGGUGAGUGGAAUUCCACGUGUAGCGGUGAAAUGCGUAGAGAUGUGGAGGAACACCAGUGGCGAAGGCGACUCUCUGGUCUGUAACUGACGCUGAGGAGCGAAAGCGUGGGGAGCGAACAGGAUUAGAUACCCGCGUAGUCCCUGUCUCUUAUAC
This 301-nucleotide ribosomal RNA is filed under the name uncultured bacterium. Its description in RNAcentral is "partial 16S ribosomal RNA". It matches the Rfam family "Bacterial small subunit ribosomal RNA", at positions 509 to 807 of the family's 1533-position model. The record is from RNAcentral.